This 408-nucleotide ribosomal RNA is filed under the name uncultured bacterium. RNAcentral describes it as "bacterial SSU rRNA". It matches the Rfam family "Bacterial small subunit ribosomal RNA", at positions 335 to 762 of the family's 1533-position model. The record is from RNAcentral.
ACUCCUGCGGGAGGCAGCAGUGGGAAUAUUGGACAAUGGGGCACCCGUGCAUCCAGCCAUGCCGCGUGAGUGAUGAAGGCCUUAGGGUUGUAAAGCUCUUUCAGCGAGGAGGAUAAUGACGUUACUCGCAGAAGAAGCCCGCGUACAUUCGUGCCAGCAGCCGCGGUAAUACGAAGGGGCGUAGCGUUGUUCGGAAUCACUGGGCGUAAAGCGCACGUAGGCGGAUUGAUAAGUUAGGGGUGAAAUCCCGGGGCUCAACCUCGGAACUGCCUUUGAUACUGUCAGUCUUGAGUCCGAGAGAGGUGAGUGGAACUCCGAGUGUAGAGGUGAAAUUCGUAGAUAUUCGGAAGAACACCAGUGGCGAAGGCGGCUCACUGGCUCGGUACUGACGCUGAGGUGCGAAAGCGU